AUACCCUAUUAUUAAAGAGCUUAAUAUUGUGAGUAAAUAAAAUAAACGAAAACAAAAAAUUAUGGCGGUACUUUAAGCUUUUCAGAGGAAUUUGCUCUGUAAUGGAUAAAACACCUAAAUCUUACUAAAAUUUGUUAAGUCAGUUUGUAUACCACUAUUAAAGUAAUAUUUAAUUAUUAUUACUUUAAACUUUUUUUAAAAAAAAUUUAAGUCAUGGUGCAGCUGAAAUUUUAGAAUGAAGUGAAUUACAAUUCUUUUUAGAUAUUUUUGAAAUUAAAGCUAGAUUUAGGAUUUGAAAGUAAAAAUUCAAUAGUAUGGUUUUUUGAAUAAAGUUCUGAAGUAUGUACAUAUCGCCCGUCGCUCUUUCAUAAAGAUAA
This 377-nucleotide ribosomal RNA is filed under the name Amblyomma gemma. RNAcentral describes it as "partial small subunit ribosomal RNA". Lineage: Eukaryota; Metazoa; Arthropoda; Arachnida; Ixodida; Ixodidae. The record is from RNAcentral.